RNAcentral lists this long non-coding RNA (479 nucleotides) under Nicotiana benthamiana. Its description in RNAcentral is "long non-coding RNA (NBEN_LNC018499)". Lineage: Eukaryota; Viridiplantae; Streptophyta; Magnoliopsida; Solanales; Solanaceae. The record is from RNAcentral.
UCAACUGAAGCAAACUACAUAUAUUCGUAAUUUGAUCCUAAAACUCUGGGGAUUAUUGAGAAGGUUCACAGUUAUGAAAUUCCCCCGAGGCUUUACAAUUACAGAAGCGGCAAGUCGAACUCAAUCGAACGGCACCUUUGAAUUGAAACGGAGCCAACGAACGGAAAAUCGAAUCUGCCCGGAAAUCUCAAACGGACAACCUCGAUUUGAAAAUGACGCUACCACCGUAGCAAGGGCGACACUGGAAUAACAGCCAAAACGACACAUACGAACGACUUGCCAGUGAACUAAUUCCGCGUGGUUUCAUGCUGCGACGUGAUGGAGAGUAGGCUGCUGUUGGUGGUCGUUUGGGGGUGUGGUGAGGCAACGAACUGGGUGUUCUAGUCGCUGGAGUUGCUGGUCGUUUGGAAGCUGGCAGCAGGAGUGUUUGGUCUUCUUCCAAAAUAAAAAAGAAGAUGAAAAGUCUAUCUCUAUAAGUG